AAUAUCCCACAACAGGGAUAACCUUGAAUUCCUGAUCUUCCUGCUUCUGUUUCCAAGUGCUGGAAUUACAGGAAAAUUAGCUGAUUGACUGGAAAUGAAGCCAGGAGACAGCUCCAAGGCCAGGGACACUGGUCUCCACGGCCCCUUCCUCCUAAGUCAAGCUGUCUGCACUGGCCUCGAUCUGUGGAAAGGGCUGCUGGAGUUCGUUGGCUGUUUGCAUAAUUUCCUCUGCCUUCUCGGGUCACAUACAAGGAUGCCACAUGAGGAAGAUGUAGAACCCUCAGCUCUGCCUGCACCA
Molecule: long non-coding RNA, 298 nt
Organism: Mus musculus (house mouse)
Lineage: Eukaryota; Metazoa; Chordata; Mammalia; Rodentia; Muridae
Product: predicted gene, 30550
Exons: 3
Source: RefSeq, a predicted model, not a curated record